GUUGGUGGAGCGAUUUGUCUGGUUAAUUCCGAUAACGAACGAGACUCUGGCAUGCUAAAUAGUUACGCGACCCUCGGCGGUCGGCGUCCAACUUCUUAGAGGGACUAGUGGCGUUUAGCCACACGAGAUCGAGCAAUAACAGG
This 143-nucleotide ribosomal RNA is filed under the name Metazoa environmental sample. Its description in RNAcentral is "partial small subunit ribosomal RNA". It matches the Rfam family "Eukaryotic small subunit ribosomal RNA", at positions 1297 to 1460 of the family's 1831-position model. Lineage: Eukaryota; Metazoa. The record is from RNAcentral.